RNAcentral lists this ribosomal RNA (440 nucleotides) under uncultured bacterium. RNAcentral describes it as "partial 16S ribosomal RNA". It matches the Rfam family "Bacterial small subunit ribosomal RNA", at positions 339 to 795 of the family's 1533-position model. The record is from RNAcentral.
CUACGGGAGGCUCCAGUCGAGAAUCUUCCGCAAUGGGCGCAAGCCUGACGGAGCAAUGCCGCGUGGGGGAUGAAGGCCUUCGGGUCGUAAACCCCUGUCAGAUGGGACGAACUUUGACGGUACCAUCAGAGGAAGCCACGGCUAACUACGUGCCAGCAGCCGCGGUAAUACGUAGGUGGCGAGCGUUAAUCGGAUUCACUGGGCGUAAAGGGUCCGUAGGGGGUCUGUCAAGUCGGGUGUGAAAUCCUGCGGCUCAACCGCGGAACUGCACUCGAUACUGGCGGGCUUGAGUCCGCGAGGGGUGAACGGAAUUCCUGGUGUAGCGGUGGAAUGCGUAGAUAUCAGGAAGAACACCGACGGCGAAAGCGGUUCACUGGCGCGGCACUGACCCUGAGGGACGAAAGCGUGGGUAGCGAACAGGAUUAGAUACCCGCGUAGUC